AUUGAACGCUAGCUGUAUGCUUAACACAUGCAAGUCGAACGGCAGCGCGAGGAGCUUGCUCCUUGGCGGCGAGUGGCGGACGGGUGAGUAACGCGUAGGAAUCUACCAAGUAGAGGGGGACAACUCGAGGAAACUCGGGCUAAUACCGCAUAAUCCCUUCGGGGGAAAGCAGGGGAUCUUCGGACCUUGCGCUACUUGAUGAGCCUGCGUAGGAUUAGCUUGUUGGUGGGGUAAAGGCCUACCAAGGCGACGAUCCUUAGCUGGUCUGAGAGGAUGAUCAGCCACACUGGGACUGAGACACGGCCCAG
This 308-nucleotide ribosomal RNA is filed under the name uncultured bacterium. Its description in RNAcentral is "bacterial SSU rRNA". It matches the Rfam family "Bacterial small subunit ribosomal RNA", at positions 30 to 334 of the family's 1533-position model. The record is from RNAcentral.